Long non-coding RNA from Acinonyx jubatus (cheetah), 3086 nucleotides. RefSeq lists it as uncharacterized. The record is from RefSeq and is a predicted model, not a curated record. Lineage: Eukaryota; Metazoa; Chordata; Mammalia; Carnivora; Felidae. The transcript has 3 exons.
GUCAGGAGACCGGGGGACCCCAGGUCCCGGGGCCGGUGGGCCGGGCCUCCUUGGGGCCGCUCCGCGCGCCAGCCCCCCCAGACCAGAGCCCGCGGCAGCCGACCCGCAGAUUCCUCAUCAGCCAAAGGAGCUCGUUAGAGGGGACAGUUCGCCGCCGCUGUGGGGAGUCUUCUCUCCUGUAAGGACACCAAAGAGGAACGGAGCACACGCUGGAGGCAGGCAGUGUCGGCAGAGAGGAGUCUCACACCCACGCGGGGCAGCAGCGGCCGGGCAGCAGGGGCACCCAGCAGGUGCCACCGGGGCCAUCACCCACACUGCUCCUGUGAGCGUCGCAUAAGAUGCCUCCUGAUGGACAUGCACCCUCACCUUUCUCGGGUACAGUCUGGGACUGCAGUUGCCGGAUCACAGCACUUGCACGCUUGACUUCAUUAGAAAAUGCCGAUCAGUUUUCCAAAGAGAGUUUAACAUUUCCUGCAGCAGGUAUGACAGUUCCAGCUGGACCACAUUUUGGCCAACAGUUCUUAUUAUCAAUCCCUUGGUUUUGGAUGUGAAAUGGUACCCUACUGUGGUUUAAUUUGCAUUUUCCUCAUUGCUAGAGAAGUUGUGAACAUUUCACAUGCUUCUGAGCUGUUUGGAUUUCUUCUUUAACACAGUUAAACAUCGUUCAAGUCUUUUGACAAUUUUAACAGAGUUCUUUUUGUUUUACCUAUUGAUUUGGCAUUGUUCUUUGUAUAUUCUGGAUACGAGUUUUUUAUCAGAUCUACUGUUGGGGUGUCUGGGUGGCCUCGGUCGUUUAAGUGGCCAACUCUUAAUUUCAGCUCAGGUCAUGAUCCCACGGUUCAUGGUGUUGAGCCCUGUGUCGGGCUCUGCACUGGCAGCUGGCAGCGCAGAACCUGCUUAGGAUUCUCUCUCUUUCUCUCUCUGCCCCUACCCCCGUCAGAAUAAAUAAAUAAACUUAAAAAGAAAGAUAUAUCUACUGUGAAUAUUUUCCCCAGUCUAUAGAUGUCUUUUAAACUUGCUUUUGAUGAGUGAGAGUUUUAAAUUUUGAUAAAGAAAGAAAGAAAACAAAACAAGAAAGAAAGAAAGAAAGAAAGAAAGAAAGAAAGAAAGAAAUGAAGGAAGGAAGGUAUAAAGAUUGGUAAGAAAGAAAUGAAGCUUUCUUUGUUUGCAGAUUACAUGAUUGCCUAUGUAGCAAAUCUGAAAUAGUUGCCAAAAAAUUCUGGAUUUAAUAAGCAAUUAUAACAAGAUUACAGGAUACAAGGUCAGUAUACAAAAGUCAAUCACUUACCUCUAUACCAGCAAUGAACAAGUGGAGUUUGAAAUAAAAAAACAUAAUAUCAGUUACAUUAGAACCCCAAAAUGAAAUACUUAGGUAUACACUUAACAAAGUUCAUGUGUAAGAUCUGCAUGAGAAAAACUAUAAAACUCUGAUGAAAGGUAAUCAAAGACCUAAAUAAAUGGGGAGAUAGUCCAUGUUGAUGAAACGGAAUUCACAACGUCAGCAUGUCGGUUUUCCCCAGCUGUCUCUAUAGAUUGAAUGCAAUCCCGAUCAAAGUUCCAGCAAGUUUUUGUGCAGAUAUUGGCAAGCUGAUUCUAACAUUUAUAUGUACAGGCAAAAGACCCCAUAGCCAAUACACUAUUAAGGGAGAAGAACAAAGUUUGAGGACUGGCAGUGUCCAACGUCAAGACCUACUGUAAAGCUACAGUAAUCAAGACUGUGUGGUAUUAGCAGAAGAAUGGACAAAUAGAUCAAUGGGACAGAAUACAGAGCCCAGAAAUAGACCCCAUAAAUAUGUGCAGCAGAUUAGCAUAAUGAAAAGAUGCUCCACAUCACAUGUCAUUAGGGAAUUAUAAAUUAAAACAAAGAAAAACAACAGUGAGAUUCCAGGGCACACCUGUUGGAACAGCCAGAGCCUGAUGCUGACAACGGCCGUGCUGAUGAGGACACAGGACUGUCAUUCACUGCUGGCGGGAAAGGUGCAGCUGCUUUGGAGGACAGUUUGGCAGUCACAACACUAAACAUACUCUCACCAUACGCCCCAGCAACCAUGCUCCUUGAUAUCGACCCAAAUGGGCUGAAAACAUGUCCACACAAUAAUCUGCAUGCGCAUGUUUAUAGCAGCUUUAUUCAUAAUUGCAAAACCCCGGAAACAACUAAGACAUCCUUCAGUAGAUGAAUGGAUAAACAGAUUGUGGUACACUGGAGGAAACUUACUUAUUGCUAAGUGAAAGAAACCAGUCUGAAAGGCUACGUAGUAUAUAAUUUCAAGUAUGUGACAUUCUAGAAAAGGCAAAACUGUAGACAAUAAAAAGGCCGAUGGUUGCUGAGAGUUAGUGGGCAGGAAAGACAGAAGCUGUUUAGGGCAGUAUCAGUAUGAUUCUAUAAUGGUGGACACAUGCCAUACAUUUGCCAAAACCAUAGAAUGUCCAACACCAAGAGUGAACCCCAACAUAAACCAUGGACGUUGGGCGAUCAUGCUGUCAAUGUAGGUUCACUCACUGAUUAUAGCAAAGGUACCACUCUGGUGCAGAAUUUGGAUAGUGGGAGGCUGCGUGCAGGUGCAGGGCAGAGGGUAUCUGACAACUUUCUGUACUUUGUGCUCAGUUUUGCUAUGAACCUAAAACUGCUCUGAAAGUGAAAUCUCCCCCCAUCAAGUUUUUAAUUUCUUCCAAAAUAAUGCUGAAAUUUUGACUGAGAUGACAUUGAAUCCAUAGAUUAGUUUGGAGAACACGGACAGCUUAACAAUAUUGAGUCGCCCAAUCCCAGAAUAUAAUGUAUACCCAAAGUGUUGGGUCUACUUUAUUUAUUUUGUAAUUUUUUUAAUGUUUACUUAUUUUUGACAGAGCAUGCCUGUGGGGGGAGGGGCAGAGAGAGAGGGAGACACAAUAUCAGAAGCAGGCUCCAGGCUCUGAGUGGUCAGCACAGAGCCCAAUGCGGGGCUCAAACUCACAGACUGUGAGAUCAUGACCUGAGCCGAAGUCAGUCACUCAACCGACUGAGCCACCCAGGCGCCCCCUGUUGGGUCUACUUUAGAUUUUUUAAAGCAGUGUUUUAUAUAUUUUUUUCCUAUAGGACUUUGCACAUC